CCGGAAACCGACCGGCCGGACGGGCCCCGCCCGCCGUGACGUCAAUGCGCCUCGCUCUCGCCCGGGCCCGUCGCCGCGGGAAACAAGUAUUCCGUUGUACUUGAUGCAAUCCCUGCUGGAGUCCUGGAGCCAGGAGAGCCAGGAGGGGAACAGAACCAGCUCUCAGGAGAAGCCAGCCCAGGUGGACACACCUUCCCCCAGUGAGCUCUGGUGGAUCUCUCAAAUCACACUUCCAUAAUCCGAUGCUGCUGCAUCCCCACGUGUUAAUUCUCACACCGCCGAAGACGUAAGGGAAGUUAAAAGCAAACAAAGCCCCCGUUCCAUUCGGUCUGGUCUGAAUUACAGUCAGAUCCUGCUCUAAACCAUCUAAUUAAAUGUUCCUGAGUAACUAACUUGCCUUACCGUCAGCGCUAUUCCCACAACUUUCAUUUCAAACAACUUUAUGCAUCGGUUUCUCAUGGAGCAAUCUGCUGCCCAGGGCUGUGGCUGCUGGAGAGCAGAGGAGAGCUCAGGGGAAACAGAGUGUGAGCCAAGGUGGGAAAUAAGAGCACAGACGUCACCCACGCCUGCUGUGUGUGUGUGUGGAACAGAAAGAGCUGUUUGAAAGGUCAGUGACAGCCAAAUUAACAGUGCCUGUUAAUUUGCUGGGGUGCUGCACAGGAGCUGGAGUGCCAUGGGCUUCUGCUGAAGGUCCCACCCCACUUAGGACCCCAUGUUCUGUGAGGUGCAACACUCCAGGAGCAGCCUCUGGGGUUGAAACCAAAUAAAUCAAAUGAGUGGCAGGUUGAAGCAGCCAAUGGUUUUAUCACAGUUUUAGGUGUUAAAUCACGCAUGCCCAUCACCCUUGAGGAACAAAUGGGGUUUCAGAGGGGCAGAGCACAACCUGGAAUGCUCCUGAUCAGAGUGACUGGAGCAUGUGGGCUGUCUCGGGGUGGAGUGAAUGGGGAAGGAAGUUUUAGUGGUACAGAAAGGUUCCAUCCACAAACUGAAGCUGCCAUCAUCCCAAAGAGCCCUGAAAUCUACAUCAGAAAAUCAGUGGAAUUAAAACCUGUGAGCUCACUGUGGACCACGAGGUGCCAGUGGCAGAGCUCACACUGGAUCCUUUGGGCAUGGCUCCUUGUAUUUUGUUUAAGCUUUAACUAGCACUGAAAAUAACCCUCCCUUACUGCUGCACACCCUGGCUCACAGCACCACAGUGAUUCAUAGGAAGAUCCAUAGAUUAGAAACCAAAACACACAAAAAUAUAUUCUCUUGUAACAAUGGAUUUUUUGAGGAUGUCUCGGUUCCAGGUCAAACUCUGGGUCUUGACAGCUUUCAGUGUGACACUUCAGAGGACCUGCAUGCAGGGACAGGACGCUUGUCCCUCAGCAGUGCAGUGUUUGCCAGGGAGUCUGAGCCUCUGGAUGAGCUUUACAGUGUCAAGUCUGUCAUUUUUCCACAUGAAAGGUGAUAAAGAACCAGAGCAAGGAAUUGAUACGAUCCAAAAAGAGCCCAAAAGACAGUGCUUGAACUUCCUGCUCUAACCUCAGCAUGAGUCAGGGGCUCAGACCCCCUGUGGACCCUGAGAGGUGGCGUGUGGAGGCUUUGGUCUGGCUGACGUCAGCUGUGUGAAACAGUCCCCAGUGCAGAACCAGUUUGCUAUGGGCAGAUCCCAAACCAUUUCCAUAUGUUACUUUGAAGAAGAAAAUGACUGGUAAGACUCAAAACAGACGAAGCAAGUGCCAAGAGAAAAAUGCCCUGAAGUGGCCAGAUCUAAGAGAUAGACCAGUCGGGGAAUCCAUCUCCAUCUGCCAGACGUGCCUGCUGCAGCACAGCCCUUCAGAUUCCCAGCAUGGUUCCCAGCUGGAAAGCUCCCAACACCCAAGGGGCAGCACUGGGAACAUUUUCCCUCCUGAGUCAGUGCUGACGAGCUCAGUGUGAGGGAGGCUGUGAUUAUCAGAGCUAUGUCACACAGCUCUCCUGUGCUGGCUGAACCACAGGCUCCACAGCAUUUUGAAAAAGCCAGGAUACCCUGCUUAAAUUCUGAUAUUGAUUAUGGUGCCCUUCCUGCCACCCAGCUGGGUUGAACUUGAACUCAGAGUUCUCUUUUCUAGCCUGGUUCUGUCCUAGAUCAGUGAUGAACCUCCACCUCAGCAGCAGGGCAAGAAAUCUCUAAGCACCCUCCUGAGAGUAUUUAUUGGGAACUCUUUGCUCAGGUGUCUCUGCACUUCAAGGACUCUCCUCAGCUCCAGAGGAGGACAGGCACUAAUGCAGUGGGAAACAGUUCCAGGACAGGGUUAGGCUGCCCCACAAGAACUGGGAGACAGAAAACAGCACCUGAAGUGGGGCAAAAAACCCCUAGAAAGCUCAUGCCUCCAGAGAGAAGGAAGGAGAUGGGAGAGCAGCAGGUCUGUGCCUCCUGCAGUUUGGAUAUGAACAGGCUUUGUUCUGCAUCAUUAACUUUAUGCAACCUCUGGGCAGCCUCAGCAGUUCAUGAACUGCCCAAGCAUCUGCAAAUGUGAUUCUUGACUUUGAGAUCUGACACAAACCAAAUUAAAGAGCACUGAGAUAGUGUGCAGCUACUGCCGACUUCUUUUCCGGGAAUGCCUGUGAAAUACUCCCAGUGUUUCUUUUGUAACAGAAUGUAAAUACCCCCAUUGAAAAGAAUCCUCAGUUCUUGUGCUUUUAACACAGUCUGGUGAGAGCUCCCUCUCCAAGUAUCAUCUGGGACACAGUUCUCCUGCAAGAUAAAUGCACGAAUAAAAGCAUUCAAAACA
Molecule: long non-coding RNA, 2756 nt
Organism: Cyanistes caeruleus (blue tit)
Lineage: Eukaryota; Metazoa; Chordata; Aves; Passeriformes; Paridae
Source: RefSeq, a predicted model, not a curated record